GACGAACGCUGGCGGCGUGCUUAACACAUGCAAGUCGAACGGAGAGGCCUUUUCGGAGGUACUCGAGUGGCGAACGGGUGAGUAACACGUGGGUGAUCUGCCCUGCACUCUGGGAUAAGCCUGGGAAACUGGGUCUAAUACCGGAUAGGACCGCACUUUAGUGUGUGUGGUGGAAAGUUUUUUCGGUGUAGGAUGAGCCCGCGGCCUAUCAGCUUGUUGGUGGGGUAAUGGCCUACCAAGGCGGCGACGGGUAGCCGGACUGAGAGGUUGGUCGGCCACAUUGGGACUGAGAGACGGCCCAGACUCCUACGGGAGGCAGCAGUGGGGAAGAUUGCACAAUGGGCGCAAGCCUGAUGCAGCGACGCCGCGUGGGGGAUGACGGCCUUCGGGUUGUAAACUCCUUUCGCCAGGGACGAAGCGUUUUGUGACGGUACCUGGAGAAGAAGCACCGGCUAACUACGUG
RNAcentral lists this ribosomal RNA (463 nucleotides) under uncultured bacterium. Its description in RNAcentral is "partial 16S ribosomal RNA". It matches the Rfam family "Bacterial small subunit ribosomal RNA", at positions 28 to 507 of the family's 1533-position model. The record is from RNAcentral.